GCGAGGGCCUGAUGAGAGUACCCGGAGAAAAAGCAUCGGCUAACUCCGUGCCAGCAGCCGCGGUAAUACGGAGGAUGCGAGCGUUAUCCGGAUUUAUUGGGUUUAAAGGGUGCGUAGGCGGGCUGUUAAGUCAGCGGUCAAAUGUCGGGGCUCAACCCCGGCCUGCCGUUGAAACUGGCGGCCUCGAGUGGGCGAGAAGUAUGCGGAAUGCGUGGUGUAGCGGUGAAAUGCAUAGAUAUCACGCAGAACUCCGAUUGCGAAGGCAGCAUACCGGCGCCCGACUGACGCUGAGGCACGAAAGCGUGGGUAUCGAACAGGAUUAGAUACCCUGGUAGUCCACGCAGUAAACGAUGAGUGCUAGCUGUCCGGUUCUACGGGACUGG
This 383-nucleotide ribosomal RNA is filed under the name uncultured bacterium. RNAcentral's name for it is "bacterial SSU rRNA". It matches the Rfam family "Bacterial small subunit ribosomal RNA", at positions 458 to 842 of the family's 1533-position model. The record is from RNAcentral.